AUUGAACGCUGGCGGCAUGCUUUACACAUGCAAGUCGAACGGUAACAGGCCGCAAGGUGCUGACGAGUGGCGAACGGGUGAGUAAUGCAUCGGAACGUGCCCAGUCGUGGGGGAUAACUACUCGAAAGAGUAGCUAAUACCGCAUACGAUCUAUGGAUGAAAGCGGGGGACCGUAAGGCCUCGCGCGAUUGGAGCGGCCGAUGUCAGAUUAGGUAGUUGGUGGGGUAAAGGCUCACCAAGCCAACGAUCUGUAGCUGGUCUGAGAGGACAACCAGCCACACUGGGACUGAGACACGGCCCAGACUCCUACGGGAGGCAGCAGUGGGGAAUUUUGGACAAUGGGCGCAAGCCUGAUCCAGCAAUGCCGCGUGCAGGAAGAAGGCCUUCGGGUUGUAAACUGCUUUUGUACGGAGCGAAACGGCUCUGGUUAAUACCCGGGGCUAACGACGGUACCGUAAGAAUAAGCACCGGCUAACUACGUG
This 482-nucleotide ribosomal RNA is filed under the name uncultured bacterium. RNAcentral's name for it is "partial 16S ribosomal RNA". It matches the Rfam family "Bacterial small subunit ribosomal RNA", at positions 30 to 507 of the family's 1533-position model. The record is from RNAcentral.